UUGCCGCCUCUCACCUCCCCCAAUCCCGUAUCUCUUGCCGCCUCUCUCCUCCAAUCCCACUCCCCGUUCUUCAAACUGUCGAUGCCGCACCGCCAUGCAUAUUACUCCCGGGGUUCCCCAUCCCUUAUGCUCGUUGUUUUCUUCUCUGCCUCCCGGAAUACUCAGUUUCCGCUGCCCUGCUCGCUCGCCGUCGCCGGUACUGCCGAGUCGCCCGCUCAACGUCGCCGAAACGAGGAAACUGCAACCCCUGUCGGCGUGUUCGCUCGCCGUGCCAGGAUUGCGUGGAGGCCGCUUACCCUGCCGGCACGCCCGCUCGCCGUCUUCGACCGCUUCGAGGUGGCACCCCCUGCGGGCAAGCUCGGUCGGGAACUGCAGCGCCGCCUCACGAUCGCGCGGACAGUUCGUCUUGGUCUGCGCUGCCUUUUCCCCUUCAAAAGACCGAUAUGGCUAAAUUAUGUAUAAUUCAGAAUUUCAAAUGCUGCUACAGUGUCUGUUAUUGUCAGAUAAUGCUUGGAAAAAAGUCUAUAAAACAUGCUCUUUGCACCUAUUAUAGCAACAGACAUGUGUACCAAUUCCGCAGGCUGUUGCAAACGGGGGCACUAGAAAGUAGAAACUAGCAAAGUUGCCAAAGAUCACUGAUUCUGAUAUUACAUUAACCAAAAGAACUUCUAGAGGGAGGAGGCCACACCAAAAGAACAAUUAAUUUUUUUCUUUUUUUUCGAAAAUGGGGGACUCCCCGGCCUCUGCAUCAGAACGAUGCAUACAGCCAAGAAAAAAAGAACAAUUAAUGAGUUGAGAAAUGUGAAUGAGCGCUUGAUCCCAUUGUUCCCUGCGUUUAUUCCUUUUGACAGAGUUUGGGAGUUCACCCUAGAUAAUGAUACACAUGUUGGUAAGUGCUUAAGUUUUCUUUUGUUCGUUCUAACUGUUCUUUUGUAACAAAUUAACUAUUAAUAUUUUUCUGUUCAAAUGUUAGAUGUUAUUGGCAUGGUUUUAUUUGUAAGUUCUAUGGGUUAUAAAGACGGUUUCUACAAUCGGAGGAUCCCAGUGAGAAAUAUUGUUCUGCUAGAUGACACGUAUGUGUAUCUUAUGAUUUUCAGUUAUCGAAAUGAGUCAAAGUUCUUACAUUUCUCUUCUAUAUUAAUUGAUUUUGUAGCUAUAAUAUUGUCAAGUUAGUUGUAUGGGGCAAGUUGGUGACUAAUAAUCUAAGUGCACGGGAAAAACUCGCCCAGGAGCGUAUAAUUGUCGUGGCAACAAUGUUACGUGCAGAGCGCAUCGAUCGUGGCCUGCAUACUACAGACUUAAGUAGGAUGCACUUUAACCCGAACAUCACAGUAGUGCGUGAAUUAAGGCAGAGGAUCAACAAUGAUCUUCCUGGACAAUCACCUCCAUGAAUCAAAAGAAGAUGAAUAAUGGAGUCGUGAAGCAAAAGUGAAGUCUUAGAAUAAUAGGAUAAUGCGUUACUUAAGCUAGGUUAAGCUACUUUUGAACCGUGUUACUUCACUUUGCUUAAUUUUGGGUGUACGGUGCCGUGGACAAUGAUGGGAAGUGCUUUUGUGAUCCGUGUUGUAACUGAAUCUGAGUUUAACUUAUGAAGUGAAAUCUUAAGGUAGUGUAAUGCCAAGACCACUUGAACAACAUAUCAAGUUGGUGUGAUCUCUGGGUAAAGUAAAAUGUAACAGCUUGGAGGCAUGUUGAGUCGCAAAUAGUUGUUCACAUGUGUUA
Long non-coding RNA from Triticum aestivum (bread wheat), 1722 nucleotides. RefSeq lists it as uncharacterized. The transcript is spliced from 3 exons. NCBI's taxonomy places the organism in Eukaryota, Viridiplantae, Streptophyta, Magnoliopsida, Poales, Poaceae. The record is from RefSeq and is a predicted model, not a curated record.